RNAcentral lists this ribosomal RNA (253 nucleotides) under uncultured prokaryote. Its description in RNAcentral is "partial 16S ribosomal RNA". It matches the Rfam family "Bacterial small subunit ribosomal RNA", at positions 524 to 776 of the family's 1533-position model. The record is from RNAcentral.
UACGGAGGGUGCAAGCGUUACUCGGAAUCACUGGGCGUAAAGCGCGCGCAGGCGGCCCAUUAAGUUGGAUGUGAAAUCCUAUGGCUCAACCAUAGAACUGCAUCCAAAACUGAUGGGCUAGAGUCUGGGAGGGGAAGAUGGAAUUAGUGGUGUAGGGGUAAAAUCCGUAGAGAUCACUAGGAAUACCAAAAGCGAAGGCGAUCUUCUGGAACAGUACUGACGCUGAGGCGCGAAAGCGUGGGGAGCAAACAGG